UGUGUAGGCGGUGUGUUAAGUCAGAUGUGAAAGCCCGGGGCUCAACCUCGGAACUGCAUCCGAUACUGGCAUGCUAGAGAAUUGGAGAGGAGUCUAGAAUUCACGGUGUAGCAGUGAAAUGCGUAGAUAUCGUGAGGAAUACCAAGUGCGAAGGCAGGACUCUGGACAUUUUCUGACGCUGAGACACGAAGGCCAGGGGAGCAAACG
This 207-nucleotide ribosomal RNA is filed under the name uncultured bacterium. RNAcentral's name for it is "partial 16S ribosomal RNA". It matches the Rfam family "Bacterial small subunit ribosomal RNA", at positions 568 to 774 of the family's 1533-position model. The record is from RNAcentral.